RNAcentral lists this ribosomal RNA (253 nucleotides) under uncultured bacterium. RNAcentral's name for it is "partial 16S ribosomal RNA". It matches the Rfam family "Bacterial small subunit ribosomal RNA", at positions 524 to 776 of the family's 1533-position model. The record is from RNAcentral.
UACGAAGGGGGCUAGCGUUGUUCGGAAUUACUGGGCGUAAAGCGCACGUAGGCGGAUAUUUAAGUCAGGGGUGAAAUCCCGGGGCUCAACCCCGGAACUGCCUUUGAUACUGGGUAUCUCGAGUCCGAGAGAGGUGAGUGGAAUUCCGAGUGUAGAGGUGAAAUUCGUAGAUAUUCGGAGGAACACCAGUGGCGAAGGCGGCUUACUGGUCCGGUUCUAACGCUGAGGAGCGAAAGCCAGGGGAGCAAACGGG